This 27-nucleotide non-coding RNA is filed under the name Homo sapiens (human). The record is from RNAcentral. Lineage: Eukaryota; Metazoa; Chordata; Mammalia; Primates; Hominidae.
UGAGGUGAAGAAUGUACCUUGUGGGAC